This 488-nucleotide ribosomal RNA is filed under the name uncultured bacterium. RNAcentral's name for it is "bacterial SSU rRNA". It matches the Rfam family "Bacterial small subunit ribosomal RNA", at positions 10 to 507 of the family's 1533-position model. The record is from RNAcentral.
AGUUUGAUCAUGGCUCAGGAUGAACGCUGGCGCGUGCCUAAUACAUGCAAGUCGACGGUAAAGGCUUCCACUCUGUGUUUAAUGAUUUGAACAUAGUGUGGAAGUACACGAGUGGCGGACGGCUGAGUAACGCGUAGGAAUGUACCCCAAAGUGAGGGAUAAGCACCGGAAACGGUGUCUAAUACCGCAUGUGCUCUAAGGAGUAAAGCUUCGGCGCUUUGGGAACGGCCUGCGUAUGAUUAGCUUGUUGGUGAGGUAAUGGCUCACCAAGGCGACGAUCAUUAGCUGGUCUGAGAGGAUGAUCAGCCAGACUGGGACUGAGACACGGCCCAGACUCCUACGGGAGGCAGCAGUAGGGAAUUUUCCACAAUGGGCGAAAGCCUGAUGGAGCAACGCCGCGUGCAGGAUGAAGGCCUUCGGGUUGUAAACUGCUUUUAUAAGUGAAGAUUAUGACGGUAACUUAUGAAUAAGGAUCGGCUAACUCCGUG